Molecule: long non-coding RNA, 219 nt
Filed under: Homo sapiens (human)
Lineage: Eukaryota; Metazoa; Chordata; Mammalia; Primates; Hominidae
Description: non-protein coding lnc-DDX23-3:2
Source: RNAcentral
CUGGCCAACCACAUGGAGGCAGGAGGCCGGGCUGCCGCAUCCACAUCACUCGGGCAACACUGCAGUACCUGAACGGGGACUACGAGGUGGAGCCAGGCCGUGGUGGCGAGCGCAACGCGUACCUCAAGGAGCAGCACAUUGAGACUUUCCUCAUCCUGGGCGCCAGCCAGAAACGAAAGAGGAGAAGGCCAUGCUGGCCAAGCUGCAGCGGACUCGGGC